Molecule: long non-coding RNA, 1078 nt
Organism: Humulus lupulus (European hop)
Lineage: Eukaryota; Viridiplantae; Streptophyta; Magnoliopsida; Rosales; Cannabaceae
Exons: 3
Source: RefSeq, a predicted model, not a curated record
UAUAUUUUCAAUGGUUGGUUUUGUAUUCACCUAUUUAAUCUGAAAUAUUAUUAUUUUGUUUUCUUUUUGCAGAUUAGAGAGUAGCGGAAACCCAAAGAGAGAAGUGGUGACCUUGAAUCCACCAACCAUCCAAACUGAUGGAACCGCCUAUUAGGAUCUCUUGAAUGAAGCUUAUGAUCAUUGUGGUGAAGUCUUUGCUGAGUAUGCCAGAAUAUUUAAUUGGCUAUUCUGCUGUUGAGCCUCUGUUCAGAUUGAUAAUGGGAUUUUCAGUGCUUAAUUUGGAUGGGCUGCCUGGUCUUGCACCUUUUGAGGUUUCCCCCGAAAAAAGAGAGGAAAAAGUGUAAUCUUUUAGAUGUUGUUUUAGACAUAGUUCACACUUCACAUAAGCUCAUGUUUUGUUGUAGGGUUGUGUUGGACAUAAUGUUCUUUAGGCGAUUCAUUGAGUAUUUUUUCUUUUUAUUUAUUUCUUUGUCCUGUAAUGUUUGAACUUCUCUGCAAAUAUGUACUGCAGCAUUGAUUUUUGUUCAAUUCUUUUAUUGUUGUUGUUUGUUGUUCUCUUAGACUUGUAAAAUUGUAGUGACAUGUAAACCUAAGAGGCGUUAUUGUCUUAAAACUUUUGAUUGUUUGUCCUGUAUAUGAGACAAGAAUUCUGUAUCUAAUUCGUUUUGCGUGUGAGUCGUACUGGCCAAAUGUGAGAUUUAAGUUGAGAUCUGGAAGGAUUUUUACUAUAAUGAGUAGAAAUGACUUCGUGGAAAACUUAAAAUUAGGAUCAACUUUAUGUUUGGUUCUUGUGGGCUUCUUACUUAGGGAUACUUCAAAAGUGUUCUUCUUCUUUGUAUUUUUUUGAGCUGAAAGCAUGUUGUAUAAACUUUAUUGCAUGGUCCUCUCUUGAUGAUGCCUUGUCCUCUGUUUUUUUGAGCAGCUGCAGCUUUUUAUCUAUUCAUAUUUCAAUGUUCUUUAUUUUUUUCUUUUCAAUGAUUUUCCAUUUGCCAACUUGCUUAUUACUGUGAUGAUUGCUCUUUUUUCUCUAUCUCAAGGAAUUAAAACUAAUGUGAAUUGAACUCUAACCUUGAGAACC